This 373-nucleotide ribosomal RNA is filed under the name uncultured eukaryote. RNAcentral describes it as "partial 18S ribosomal RNA". It matches the Rfam family "Eukaryotic small subunit ribosomal RNA", at positions 592 to 976 of the family's 1831-position model. The record is from RNAcentral.
CAAUAGCGUAUAUUAAAGUUGUUGCAGUUAAAAAGCUCGUAGUUGAAUUUUUGCUUGCCGCCGAUGUCGGAACUUCCGUACGUUCGGCGGCGUGCAUCCUUGGGUGGAACCUGUGUGGCAUUAGGUUGUCGUGCAGGGGAUGCUCAUCGUUUACUGUGAAAAAAUUAGAGUGUUCAAAGCAGGCUUAUGCCGUUGAAUAUAUUAGCACGGAAUAAUAAGAUAGGACCUUGGUACUAUUUUGUUGGUUUGCGCACCGAGGUAAUGAUUAACAGGGACAGUUGGGGGUAUUCGUAUUCCAUUGUCAGAGGUGAAAUUCUUGGAUUUCUGGAAGACGAACUACUGCGAAAGCAUUUACCAAGGAUGUUUUCAUUAA